UCCUUUUAUUGUUGGGAAAAUAAUUUUUUGAGAAUUAUGUUUUGUUUUAGUUACUUCCAAAGGGAGGUAAGAGCGUUCAAAAACUAGUCAUGCAUUCUUUGGAAAGGUUCCUUCAGUUCGCAUGAAUAGCAUGAACAAAUGUUUCCCAAUGACAUGGCAAUGCUAAAAGGAUGCAACAGAAAAUGCCUUUGUGCACACAAAACUUUUUAUUGGACGCUGAAUAAAAUAGGAGGGUGCUGACAGAACAGUGAAAUAGGACAUUAGAUUGCACUCCAAUUAUAUGUUAUAUAUGUUUGUGCUAUCUCUUUGGUUUGAAUAGAACAUGUUUGUAUAGAACACGUUCAGACAGAACCUAUUUGUGUGCCAAUAGGUUCAGGCAGAGCAUACUGUACCUGUAUACUAGUAUGUUCAAAAUUUCAGAACUUUGAGAAAAGAGCUGUCAACAUCAUUUGCAGGAAACAUUGAUAUCAUGUUUCUCAUAAUACACAUUUUAGUUUGGGUUUUUACUGCCAAACUGGUUACCAUUAUAUCAAUAUUCAGAGCAAAUCAUUUUCAUCUUUCUAUCAAACAUCUGAAAUAUUUACUGAGGCUUAGUCGAUUCAACUGGAUAGCAAAAGAAGUCUUGUUAAAUGACUUUUAAUUUUAACUUAAUUCAUUUAUGGACUGUCACUGAGAUACUGCCCAUUUAUAUAACCAUAAAAUGCAAAGUUUAACUGUUAUCCUGAGUUUACAUAGAAGCUAGUAAAGUGUAACUUUUUGCCUGUCUUAUAAAUCAGUGUAAUUACAUAUUCAACUUUAAUUACUGGUGCGUCUGUAUUGGCAAGGUUUAUAUGUUAUAUUUUAUGCAAGACUACGAUUCCUAUUAAUAUUUAGCAGCUAACUAUAUCAUUAAUUACUCUAAAAUCUUUCCCCCACCAUCUUUUUAAUGCAGCUCAGAGAGUGGCAGUAUUAAAAAUUGAUGUAUUGUGGAUUUCAGAAAUGUGUAUGAAGCCUGAGAAAUGCCUGGCCUUAAUCGUGGGUGUCAAAUGUGGCAGAUUCUUGUUUAGUAAAUAGUAAAACACGUACCUUCGAGGUAUCAUUUCCCAGGUUAUUUAUAUAAUAAUUAGAGAUGUGAUAUCUAACUAGACAGAGAUAGAAGUUCGCUGUAGGACGAGUCUUUUUAAUAUACAAUUAUAUCCUUCGUUAGUGAUGGUAUCUUUGUAUUUCAAAUGUUGUACCCAGUCGGUUUUAUUAUUUAAUUUUCUCUUUCAUAUUUUCCAUAUUUAUUAUACAUGUAGUUCUGGAACGGUAAUUUCAAGUAGAGCAGUAUGCAUUUUUGUAUUAAAUUAUCAGAGAUGUGCAUUUCCUUUGCUUUUUUACAUUGGAAGAUUUUCUGUAUUUUACUCCUUGUUUUAUUUUUCUUGCAAGGCCAGUAUAUAUGUUAUCAGAGACAUUUAUGUCUUUAAGAUCAUACACUUAAUUGCUUUAUUUGCCAUUCAUUGUAUUACCUUAGGGGGUGAGAAACCUGUAUACACACACCAGUGAAUGUGAACAUUAAUGGGCUUUAGUGAGUUCCAAACCAUUACUUUUUUUUUCAAAAUGGAAAAAUUUGUCUUUUGGAAGUGUCUUUAGAUGUAUUUAAUAAUACAAAAGAAGUAGUAAAAUUGGAAGUAGAAAGAACAUGAAUAUAAGCUCCUGAGAGCAACAGUGCUCUAAAACAAGUAAAGUGAGCCAUCAGACAAAAGUUUUUAUAUCCCGUGCUGUAUGCUAUCAACCAUGCAUUGGGUAGCUGGAGGCCUUUUACUUUUAGCAGUUCUCCUGAGUAUGCUAAUGCUCUCUUUCUGUCUAAAAUGCCAAGACAAUAAAACUUUAAAGAGCAAACAAGAGUUAGAUCAUGUGUAUUAAAAACAGCAAUUUCUCCUAAACGAAUGGCAUUUUCUAUUUAGAAUUAUUUGGUAAUAGCGUAGUAGGUCUCUCUCUCACCUUCUCACUCUCCUACAUUUUCUAAGCAAUGCAUGCAGACGAUAUAUGGCAGGCACCACACAUACCAUUUAUAAUCAGUAUACAUUGCUUAGAUGCCACAAGACUCCUUUGUUUCUAAAAGAAAGCAUAUAGAUGUUUAUUAAUAAAACCUAUUGUUAAAUACACCAAUAAUUCCAGUUCAAAACUAAACAUCAGUAGGUGCAGCGAAAGCUGUACAUUAAAAAUUAUACCAGGGAUAGGUAAUGGUUCCAAAUGCUUACUGAACUAGAAAAUAACUGCCAUGCAGGACUGCAUUAACAGUACUUCCAUGCAGCACAACAGAACUCAUAAAACAUCAGUUUUUGAGUGAUACUCUACCAUUCUGACAUGUAGCCAUUAACUAAUGCAAGGAAGAUGGUCAAUUCAUAAUAUUACUUAUGGUGUGUUUGAUAGAGAACAAGAUCUUAUAGGAUUAAGACCACAUAAUUUUUGUCUUGUGUGGUAAAGAGGAGAGGUAGAAUACCAGCCAUUUAAGCAAACUACUUCAAUAACAUUUGGAUGGGAGAAAACAUGACAUGAAGUUAAAAGCAAUGAUCAUAGAGAUUACACAGUCCUUUCUUUUAUAAAUUCAUUUAUCAUGUGUCACAUGUACUCAGGCUCUGAAUCCUUUUGUUAAUGGUUGAACAACACAUGAAAUUGGAACUCUGUAAUUAGAAUUCCUAUUGAUUUUUGUUAUACAAAAAGCAACUGGCUUGCAUUUGAGUUAGAGCAUACAAGGGAGUGGGGAGGGGCAGUGAAACAGAUGUGGUUCCUCGCACCAGUCUCUUAAACUGAGGGACUGAGGACCUUUGCCACUUCUCAGCUAAUUCUGGAUUUUGUAUGUGAUCCCAUUGCCAACUUUUGAUCACCUUGGUGCUCAACUCACGAUGGUAGUUAAAAUAGACAGACCAAAUUGACAUCAACACACUUAAGCAAUGACCCAGGGAGAAGCGCAACAGAGUUAUUGUGACCCUGGAGAGGAAUAGGUGUGGUAGUCUUCAGGACAGACCCCUCAACCUUAAGGUCCUGCUUCUGAAUGCCAGAUCCGUCAAUGGUAAGACAGCUAUCAUCCAGGAUUUGAUCCUGGAUGAGGGGGCGGAUCUGGCAUGUAUUACCAAGACAUGGUUGGAUGAACCGGGUGGGGUGAAUCUCACCCAGCUGUGUCCACCGGGUUUCGGGGUCCAUCAGCAGGCCAGGGUUGAGGGGCGGGGAGGAGGAGUUGCGGUGAUCUUCCGGCAGUCCAUCGCCCUGAUCAGAUGCACCGUUCCACAAUCUAUGAGGUUUGAAUGUGUCCUGCUGAAGGUGGGAGCCCGAGACAGCUUGGGGAUUCUGUUGGUGUACCGUCCACCCCGCGACCCAGCAGUCUCCCUGUCUGAGCUAGCAGAAGUGGUCUCUAAUGCGGCCUUGGUCUCCCAACAACUCAUAGUUUUGGGAGACUUUAACAUCCAUGCCGAGACCACAUUAACAGGUGCAGCUCAGGAUUUCAUGGUUGCCAUGACGACCAUGGGGCUGACUCAAGUUAUAUCUAGGCCCACACAUCAGGUGGGACACACGUUGGACCUUGUCUUCAUUGUGGACGGUGGGACAGUCAGAGUGGAAGAACAAAACAUCCUUCCAUUGUCAUGGUCUGACCAUCAUCUGAUCUGUUUAAGUUUCGCCGUGUCUUCUAACCUCUGCAGGGGUGGUGGACCCAUUAAGAUGGUCCGCCCCAGGAGGCUGAUGGAUCCAGAUGGACUCCUGAGGUCUCUUGGGGAUCUUCCUGUUCUGGAGACUGGCGAUCCUGUCGAUGUCCUGGCUGAUCGCUAUAAUAGUGAGCUGGCUAGGGCACUUGCACGAUCGCUCCCGAACGUCCCCUCUCGCUGCGUAGAGUCACGUCAACCCCUUGGUUUACUGAGGAGCUGGCCGUGAUGAAGCGUACGAGGAGGGGACUAGAGUGCAUCUGGAGAAAAUCUCAGGAUGUGUCCGACCAAGCACGGGCUAAAGCCGCUAUUAAGGCUUACUCCGUGGCUCUGCGAGCAGCCAGGAAAGCUUUCACGACUGCCCGCAUAGCGUCUGCAGCCAAUAGGCCAUCGGAGUUGUUCCGAGUUGUUGGGGAGCUCCUGCGGCCUCCUGAGGCCCAGGAGCUUCCCGAUGACCUGGCGACUCGGUGUAGCGAUUUCGCACACCACUUUGCAGGCAAAGUUGCUCAGAUACGUCAUGAGUUGGACUCCAGCUUGACUGUGGUUUCAGCGGAGGUAACCGAGGCACCUGUCGGUUCGAUCUUAUGGGAUUCUUUCCGGCUUGUUCUUCCUGAUGACGUGGAGGGGAUUCUUGGGUCUGUGAGGGCGACCACUUGUGCUCUGGAUCCUUGUCCCUCUUGGCUGGUUAAACUGGCCAAAGAUGGGUUGUUGGAGUGGUUUGUGGCUAUAAUAAAUGCCUCCUUGGGUCAAGGGUCAUUUCCAUCCUGUUUUAAGCAAGCGGUGGUAAAACCGUUACUAAAAAAGACCUCGCUAGACCCAUCGGUUUGUGACAAUUACAGACCAAUCUCCAACCUCCCAUUUUUGGGCAAGGUUCUGGAGCGGGUGGUUGCCACGCAGCUCCAGGAGUUCCUCGAUGACACUGAUUUUCUGGACCGCUCGCAGUCUGGCUUCAGGCCUGGGCACAGUACUGAGACGGCUUUGGUCGCCUUGGUGGAUGACCUCCGUAGGGAGCUGGACAGGGGGAGUGUGAGCCUGCUGGUUCUCCUGGAUAUCUCAGCGGCUUUUGAUACCAUCGACCAUGGUAUCCUUCUGGGGAGGCUCUCCGGGAUGGGGCUCGGGGGCACGGUUCUGCUGUGGCUCCAGUCCUUCCUGGAGGGUCGUUCCCAGAUGGUGAAGCUGGGGGACACCUGCUCGGACCCCUGGCCAUUGACCUGUGGGGUUCCGCAGGGGUCUAUUUUAUCCCCCAUGCUAUUUAACAUCUACAUGAAACCGCUGGGAGAGGUCAUCCGGAGUUUUGGAGGGCGUUGCCAUCUCUACGCAGAUGACACGCAAAUCCACUAUUCCUUUCCACCUGACUCCAAGGAAGCCCCUCGGGUGCUGAACCAGUGCCUGGCCGCUGUGGCGGACUGGAUGAGGAGGAACAAGCUGAGGAUCAAUCCUGACAAGACAGAGGCCCUCCUGGUCAAUCGUGCGUCAGAUCGGGGUAUUGGGUGGCAACCUGUGCUGGACGGGGUUGCACUCCCCCUGAAACCACAGGUCCGCAGUUUGGGGGUCCUCCUGGAUUCAGCGUUGACGCUUGAAGCACAGGUGUCGGCGGUGGCUGGGAGGGCUUUCGCACAACUCAAACUUGUGCGCCAACUGCGACCAUACCUCGUGAAGUCUGAUUUGACCACGGUGGUCCAUGCCUUAGUUGCCUCUAGACUGGACUACUGUAAUGCGCUCUACGUGGGGCUUCCCUUGAAGACGGCCCGGAAAUUACAAUUGGUCCAACGCUCGGCAGCCAGAUUAAUAACGGGGGCGAGUUACAGGGAGAGAUCCACUCCCCUGUUUAAGGAGCUCCACUGGCUGCCGUUUAUUUUCCGGUCCCAAUUCAAGGUGCAGACUAUCAUCUAUAAAGCCCUAAACGGUUUGGGACCCACCUACCUCCGUGACCGUAUUUCCUUUCAUAAACCUGCCCGAUCUUUAUGAUCAUCCGGGGAGGCCCUUUUAUCACCACUGUCUUUAUCCCAGGCCCGCCUUGUGAGUACAAGGGAGAGGGCCUUUUCUGCUGUGGCCCCUCGAUUGUGGAACUCACUGCCUACUGAAAUUAGGCAAGCUCCCACGCUGUUAGCUUUUAGGAAAGACUUGAAAACAUGGCUCUUCCGCUGUGCCUUUGGUGAGUAACUUCUGUUAUUUCUGUGUUACUCCCACCCCGAACAUCUAUCCUCUAGAUUACCCCACUUCCAUAUGUCCCUGCCCACAGUGGAGUACCCCUAUGUCCCUCUCACCCCAGGUUUUAUCUCUGUGUUCACGUGGCCUGCCCUUGUUUUACUGUUUUUUUAUUUCUUGAUGUUGAUGCAUUUAUUGUAUUUUUAAUGGUGCUAUGUUAUGUUGUUUUAUAUUUUGUUAUAUUGUAUUACUCUGGGCAUGGCCCCAUGUUAGCCGCCCCGAGUCCCCGUUGGGGAGAUGGUGGCGGGGUAUAAAUAAAGUUUUAUUAUUAUUAUUAUUAUUAUUAUUAUUAUUAUUAUUAAGUCUUGGGAUCUCAAGAUAUUUAUAUGAGAUUUGAGCAGGCUCUUCUGUUACUCUUUUACAAUAGACAGACAUAUGUACAUAUCCAUUCCCCUUUGGGUGUUUAGUUUCCAUGUGUGUAACAAUACAUUUCAUGUAAGGUAUCAUUCAUAUUACAUUAUAGGCUAUGACUAGUUGAAUCUUACACUUUCAUAAAGACUUCCAUAAGAAUUGAACCUUGAUCUCUCUGCAUUUUUAAUAGGCUUGGUCAUAAUUAACACAUGUCAGAACAUCAUUCUAAACAAGUGGUUCUCAACCUGUGGGUCCCCAGAUGUUUUGGACUUCAACUCCAGAAAUCCUAACAGCUGGUAAACUGGCUGGGAUUUCUGGGAGUUGUAGGCCAAAACACCUGGGGACCCACAAGUUGAGAACCACUGUUUUAAACAAUGUGACAUAGUUUUUAUCCAUCGUAAAAUCAUCAUAUUCUUUCAUAAUUCCAUAGUUUCUGAGAGUACUUGCUAAAGUAUUCAUUUCCUAAAAGCUUUUACGUGCACACAAUCCUACCCCUUAUAUCAAAUACAUAAUCCUAUUAGUAAUAUAACUUGGCCAAUUAUCCAUGACUAAAAUACUUUCUUAUCUCUUUCCAUUGAAGGGUUAAUUUCCUUGAGCAUAUUUAAAACUUAACAGUAUCCAUUAUAAUAAAUAACGUCAUGGACAUCAAUUUUAUACCUUCUGUACCAGUUUCUCAAUAUGUUUCAGCAGUAUGUCUGGGCCAAUUGAUCUAUCAGGUUAUUAGGAACACUCAUUACUGUUUAUUAAACUCACCAUAACACAAUCUGGACUUCUUUGUUUCAUCUCCUUAUUACCAAACAACUUGUCCAUUACACAAUGGAAAUAUACACUAGCUCUUAGGCAAUUGAAAUAGAGAUUUGAGGUAAGGUAGGUGUCAUCUGGGAGCCUCCAGUGGCUCAGUGUGUUAAAGCGCUGAGCUGCUGAACUUGCAGACCGAAAGGUCCCAGGUUAAAAUCCGGGGAGUGGAGUGAGUGCCCACUGUUAGCUCCAGCUUCUGCCAACUUAGCAGUUCGAAAACAUGCAAAUGUGAGUAGAUCAAUAGGUACUGCUCUGGCAGGAAGGUAACGGUGUUCCAUGCAGUCAUGCUAGCCACAUGACCUUGGAGGUGUCUACGGACAAUGCCGGCUCUUCGGCUUUGAAAUGGAGAUGAGCACCAACCCCCAGAGUCGGACAUGACUGGACUUAACAUCAGGGAAAACCUUUACCUUUUAGGUGUCCUCAUUACACUUCCCUCCCAGCUAGGCUACAUAUCAUGGUUUGUCUCUUCUCCAAAAUGUACUGUUGUCCCCUCUUUGAGUGUAUGUGUUUUCUGAGCACAAUUGUACAGGUGUUUGGCUUAACCAUUUACAUUUCAGAGUAAUUGGCAUCAUUCCCAGAUUGACAUGAAAAGUGUUGCUGCUUUGCCACUGAUGCUGGCACACACUCACAGUUCUAAUUGCCUGCAUUAAAUCUUAUGCCUUGUCUCUGAGUCACAUGGGAGCCCUCAUGCCUGCUUUUUGUAAAAUAGCAAGACUCUGGAAGUUCCUGUCAUGGGACUUCUAUGAGCAGACCUAUUCCCUGUAGGUAAAUCUUGGAAAUUUGUUCUUUAUGUAAUGGAGCAAGUUGGACUGAAAUUUACCUUCAGGUCACUGGACUAUAACCUGAUGAUUAUCUCAAUAUCAGAACACAGUUUGUUCCUGAAAUCUCAAGAUGCAUAGAAGCCAGAUUUCAUAGGCAGAUGAUUUGUGGAGCAGCUCCUAUGUGAAUUGGGAAAAUCCCAACCACAUUUUGCUGAUAUGGUAAAAUUGCUAUCUGAUACUGCUUUCCCCAGUUGUGUGUUGUUUAUUUUGUGUGGGACAAAAUGUUCUCUGCCCCUGCACAGUUUUUAUUCAUCACAUGUUCGUCCUCAGUCUUUGUCAAAAUUGCCGGAUCAGAAGCACUAUGAAGGAUAUCAUGAGAUCAAAUGUUAUUAUGUAGUACCAUUUUCUGUGUGAUGGAGGAGCACUAAAGAGUUUAUUGAGGCAACAGAUAUAAUUUAACUCUUCUUUGAACUCCCUGAAUCUCUAUUCUAUUCUCUAGUGUGUUUCCCUUUCUCCCAUUUCUCUGAUGCCUGAUCCCACAGACUUAGACCUUAUUCAUGCUUUUCUAAUGCAGUGGAUAAUCUGUUCCCCUGGUACGUUCCUACACUACUCAGACAAUAUCCACAGAGAGUAAUCAUGUGGGUUCACCAAGAAAAUUUAGGUGGUUUUUUUCGAGCCUCAAUGGACCAACAAUGUCCAGGUACCUGGCUGAAAAAAGUGUACUAAUAUAACAUCUAAAAUAAUACUGUCUUUGAAAAAUUAAAAUGAAAAUAUUUGCUAGUUCUAUUAUUGCAUGUGAAAAGAAAUCACUUCCGUCUCCCAACUGGAUGUAAUUAAGUGAUUUUUCUACAUUUCAAUUUUUUUCACAUUGAAAUUUUUUUGUGAAAAUUUUACAAAUAUAUUUUUGUGCAAAACAGUUUGCACAAAGCAAUGGUUUUGCACAAAAAUCUUUUAGAAAAACAACAACCAUUUAAUGAACUAGAAUUUUUCUCUCUGAUAUUUGGCCCAGAAAUCUCAGAGUGAUUGACAUCAGCCUUCCUUGUGAAGAACUAGGAAAAUUGUUAGUAUUCUUUAGAUCUGUAGAAAAAUAAAAAUGAGACAUUGGUGUAAACGUAAUUCUUUUCCCCAACUAAAAUGGAAGCACUAAAUUAAUUGGAACACUUUAUAUCAGCACUUAUGUAAGUUCCAUUAAAUGAACUGGUCUACUCUAGUUGAGACUAGCAAUUGCAGAUGUGCUGUUAUUUUUGAAAUAGUUGGGCACAUGGGUUUGUAUUUAAGAUAUAAUCAAGGAUUUUAUCUCAUGAAGAUGACAAAUUGGCAUUGAAAAUGCUGUGUGCACAACUCAUUGCCAGUCUGCCCCCUCCCCAUAAGAAACUCAUCCCCUUCUGUUUAUGAGAAAAGCCCAUCAAUAGCCCCAGAUCAUGCCAUAGUCCCAGCACAUUCUUUAUGUAAUAUAACUAAUCUUCUUCUUUGCCAACAUGCUGGCACAGAAGUGACAUCAGGGGGGUGGGAUUAUCCAUCCCCCUUGCUGAAAUUGCGAAGUUUUUAUUUAAAAAUAAUAUUUAGAACUUAUGGAGCAGCUGAACUAUGUGAGGGUGUAACUCCACUAACAUGCAGUACAGCUAUAGGACAAUAUAUUGGCCUAUCAUCCCUGUUGAGUAACCAUGGAGAGGUGCUAUACCAGGGGUAAUCAUUCCAGUAAGUUGCCACUAUCUGUGAUCCAAUGAUAAGAUCCCAAAUGGUUUUGCCAUUUGUAACUUUAUAAGAUCAAUUUCUUCCAUAUUGUGAUAUCCAUCCUUGAGCUUUCCGAUAUUUCUAACCCAGUUGUAGCAAGCAUUAUGGAGAAGGCUUUCAGGACCUUUAUUUCCUAAUAUUAAUGAUUCUUUGUGUAUAACUGCUUGUCUUCCCCAUUUGAUAUGUCUUUUCUUUACAUUAGAUCAAGCAGUUUGCAUGGGGACAAGUGCAUUUUACCGUUGAGCUAAAAAGGAAGUUGAAACACAGGCAAUCGUGUUAUAUUCAAGAUAGGUUGUUUAUCCAAUUGAGUUCAGUAUAUUUGACUGACUGGCAGGAGCGCUCUGCUGUCUUUCAUGUCAGCUUUAAGGAAUUACAAAAGGACUGGGUCAGAUGUGCUACUUGAGCAUAAAAGGUUGACAUACAUUUGAAAAUGAAUGGAUUAUUAUAGAGCAUAUAUGAAACGAGAGCAUAUACCAAGGACCUAAGGGUGAGAAAUGAUUGCUACGGUGCCAGAUGGAGGCAGUAGAUUCUGACACAUAGUCUUAAAAUGCUGCCAUGUGUUCACCGAGGGUCUUGUUUGGUUGUGAGCAAGCUAUGAGGUUUGUAACAUCCUGCUUUCUGCCCAAGCAAGCAGCAACAUGAAGCAGAGAAACUGUGUUGCAGCAUCUAAAACUGUCUUCACUGAAAUCUGUUUACAGAGGACUGGCUAAAUUCAAACACUCAAUCCAUGUCAAGGAAGAGCCAGUGAUCGCUGAGGAUGAAGACUGUCCAAUGUCAUUGGUGACAACAGCAAAUCACAGUCCAGAAUUGGAAGAUGAUAGAGAAAUUGAAGAGGAGCCUUUA
Anolis carolinensis (green anole) is the source of this 10354-nucleotide RNA transcript. It is a transcript of the gene named forkhead box P2, with no coding region annotated. Lineage: Eukaryota; Metazoa; Chordata; Lepidosauria; Squamata; Anolidae. The record is from RefSeq and is a predicted model, not a curated record. The transcript is spliced from 2 exons.